CAGGUUUUUUCUCUUCGAAAUGUAAUAAGACAAUUGCUUUCCUGGCCGCCACGUUACUGUGUACUCAAUCUUUAAGUUGCCGAAUGUUGUUUUCACCACAUCAGAAAACACCUCAGAACUCACUUCAGAACUCACCUCAGAAUUCACCCCAGAACUCACCUUAGAAUUCACUAUAAAUAGCUAAAAAA
Lingula anatina is the source of this 188-nucleotide long non-coding RNA. NCBI's taxonomy places the organism in Eukaryota, Metazoa, Brachiopoda, Lingulata, Lingulida, Lingulidae. The record is from RefSeq and is a predicted model, not a curated record.